RNAcentral lists this ribosomal RNA (458 nucleotides) under uncultured bacterium. RNAcentral's name for it is "bacterial SSU rRNA". It matches the Rfam family "Bacterial small subunit ribosomal RNA", at positions 340 to 789 of the family's 1533-position model. The record is from RNAcentral.
UACGAAGGCAGCAGUGGGGAAUAUUGCACAAUGGGCGAAAGCCUGAUGCAGCUAUGCCGCGUGUAUGAAGAAGGCCUUAGGGUUGUAAAGUACUUUCAUCGGGGAGGAAAAAACAAAACUAAUAAUUUUAUUUCUUGACGUUACCCGAAAAAGAAGCACCGGCUAACUCCGUGCCAGCAGCCGCGGUAAUACGGAGGGUGCUAGCGUUAAUCAGAAUUACUGGGCGUAAAGAGCACGUAGGUGGUUUUUUUAAGUCAGAUGUGAAAUCCCUGGGCUUAACCUGGAACUGCAUUUUGAAACUGAAAUACUAGAGUAUCGUAGAGGGAGGUAGAAUUCUAGGUGUAGCGGUGAAAUGCGUAGAUAUCUGGAGGAAUACCUGUGGCGAAAGCGGCCUCCUAAACGAAUACUGACACUGAGGUGCGAAAGCGUGGGGAGCAAACGAGGGAUUAGAUACCCGU